AUUGAACGCUGGCGGCAGGCCUAACACAUGCAAGUCGAGCGAGCGGCGGACGGGUGAGUAAUGUAUGGGAAACUGCCUGAUGGAGGGGGAUAACUACUGGAAACGGAAGCUAAUACCGCAUACCAUCAGAUGUGCCCAGAUGGGAUUCGCUAGUAGGUGGGGUAAUGGCUCACCGAGGGGACGAUCCCUAGCUGGUCUGAGAGGAUGACCAGCCACACUGGAACGUAGACACGGUCCAUACUCCUACGUGAGGCAGCAGUGGGGAAUAUUGCACAAGGGGCGCAAGCCUGAUGCAGCCAUGCCGCGUGUGUGAAGAAGGCCUUCGGGUUGUAAAGCACUUUCAGCGGGGAGGCGUUACCCGCAGAAGAAGCACCGGCUAACUCCGUGCCAGCCGCCGCGGGAAUUC
RNAcentral lists this ribosomal RNA (406 nucleotides) under uncultured bacterium. Its description in RNAcentral is "partial 16S ribosomal RNA". It matches the Rfam family "Bacterial small subunit ribosomal RNA", at positions 30 to 526 of the family's 1533-position model. The record is from RNAcentral.